UACGUAGGUGGCAAGCGUUGUCCGGAUUUACUGGGCGUAAAGCGCGUGUAGGCGGCUUUGCAAGUCGGGUGUGAAAGCCCUCGGCUCAACCGAGGAAGUGCGCCCGAAACUGCAGAGCUUGAGUACCGGAGAGGGUGGCGGAAUUCCCCAAGUAGAGGUGAAAUUCGUAAGAUAUGGGGAGGAACACCGGUGGCGAAGGCGGCCACCUGGACGGAUACUGACGCUGAGACGCGAAAGCGUGGGUAGCAAACAGG
Molecule: ribosomal RNA, 254 nt
Filed under: uncultured bacterium
Lineage: Bacteria
Description: partial 16S ribosomal RNA
Rfam family: Bacterial small subunit ribosomal RNA
Source: RNAcentral